This 339-nucleotide ribosomal RNA is filed under the name uncultured Pseudomonadota bacterium. RNAcentral describes it as "bacterial SSU rRNA". It matches the Rfam family "Bacterial small subunit ribosomal RNA", at positions 29 to 351 of the family's 1533-position model. The record is from RNAcentral. Lineage: Bacteria; Pseudomonadati; Pseudomonadota.
AACGAACGCUGGCGGCGUACCUAACACAUGCAAGUCGUACGAGAAAUUCCGAUUCGUCGGGAGAGUAAAGUGGCGAACGGGUGAGUAAGAUGAGGGUAAUCUGCCCUUAAAUCAGGGAUAACCUUGCGAAAGCGAAGCUAAUACCUGAUAAGACUACGAUCUGUUAGCAGAUAGUAGUAAAGAUGGCCUCUGUUUCAUGCUAUCGUUUAAGGAUGAGCCCUUAUACUAUUAGCUAGUUGGUGAGGUAACGGCUCACCAAGGCAACGAUGGUUAGCUGGUCUGAGAGGAUGACCAGCCACACUGGAACUGAGAUACGGUCCAGACACCUACGGGAGGCAG